Molecule: ribosomal RNA, 348 nt
Filed under: uncultured bacterium
Lineage: Bacteria
Description: bacterial SSU rRNA
Rfam family: Bacterial small subunit ribosomal RNA
Source: RNAcentral
ACUCCUACGGGAGGCAGCAGUGGGGAAUAUUGCACAAUGGGGAAAGCCCAUCGAUGCAGCCAUGCCGCGUGUGUGAAGAAGGCCAAUUCGGGCUUUGGUUAAAGACACUUUCAGUAGGGAGGAAGGUAGUGUAGUUAACACCUGCAUUAUUUGACGUUACCUACAGAAGAAGCACCGGCUAACUCCGUGCCAGCAGCCGCGGUAAUACGGAGGGUGCGAGCGUUAAUCGGAAUUACUGGGCGUAAAGCGCAUGCAGGCGGCCUGUUAAGUCAGAUGUGAAAGCCCGGGGCUUAACCUCGGAAUUGCAUUUGAAACUGGCAGGCUAGAGUCUUGUAGAGGGGGUGAGAA